Formica exsecta is the source of this 1181-nucleotide long non-coding RNA. RefSeq lists it as uncharacterized. The record is from RefSeq and is a predicted model, not a curated record. The transcript has 6 exons. NCBI's taxonomy places the organism in Eukaryota, Metazoa, Arthropoda, Insecta, Hymenoptera, Formicidae.
CUCCAGUAUGUAUCACGAUAUGAAGAAUGGUAACAUCUCCCUUGUCACGGCUGUUGCAAAUAUUUGUAACAAGAAACAGCUCGAAAGUCAUGAUUCGCGAGGACCACGCUCACGGAACAGUAUACGAGAAUCUGGAUGUUUUGUUCGCAACAGCAAAGUUGAAAGAUGCUUGAUAGAUAGACCGAGCUAGUUUCUAACCUGUUUAUUUCAAUGUUUAUACACUUGGAGAACGUGGAAUGUCAUUAUGAUAAUAACAUAUGAUAACAUAAAUUAUUAUUCGAUUUAAUUUUAUCACAUGAAUACUUCUCGACUAGAGUUCCGUAUUCAACACUUUCUCUCCCAGACAAAAAUAGAGAGGAAAUGCAAAUACAGUAAAAGAUUGGAUGCUUACAAUUACGGAUCAGUGUAGUUUCGCUUCCUAGCGAAACUGUCAAUCAAUGUGAAAGGAAAACCUAACAAGAUGCAAGCUGGGCAGAUAUAUUCAUAUAAUGGAUUGGAGGAUUUAACUGUCUAAUGUCAGAAUGCCGGUGAUCAUGCAACCAACAGAUAUUUUGAUAAAGUUUGAAGCUGCUAGAGUGAAUCCCAUCGAUAUUGCAGUGACAAAUAGAUGGUUAUGGCACAACUCUUCAAAAUUUGAUGUGCCAUGCCAAGAUUUUGACUGGUGGAACAUACAAUAGACGAUUACCAAGAUUACGAUACAAAGACGAAGAAGUAAUUAGCAUGUGCAGCAGUGAUACUAUGGAUAUGUUACAGAGUUUAGGUGCCAAUAUUGUUAUUGAUUAUAAGAUGGUGCUGACAUAAAAAUUAUUUCAGAGGGACCAUUGCGCCAAUCAAGGACCAGAGCACGUCAGAAUGAAAGGUUAUCCGCACAGUACUUAUAUAGCAUUAAAUUCGCCACAAUUGAAACAUACUGAUCAACAUGGGCUAGUUGUAGGAAUGGCAAAGAAUAUGCUAGAUUUUUUAAAGUUUAAUAUUCCAAAGCGAGAAAAUAACUGUGUAAAAUGGGUAUUUUUUAUACCAUCCUGCAAACAGGAAUUAAUGUCCUUCAAAAACUUGUGGAAAAUAAAGAAAUUUGCCGCUGGCAUAUGAAAAGAUGAGGCAGGGCCAUUGAUAUAAGAUAGUACAACAUGCAUCAUUGAAUUAAAUAAGUAGAUAAAUAUCGUUGUUGUUGAUAUAUAUAU